Molecule: transfer RNA, 68 nt
Filed under: Plethodon elongatus (Del Norte salamander)
Lineage: Eukaryota; Metazoa; Chordata; Amphibia; Caudata; Plethodontidae
Description: tRNA-Ser
Source: RNAcentral
GAGAAGAAUUUAGAAAUACAGAAAUUGCUAACUAUCUGAUCUCGUGGUUAAAUUCCACGAUCUCCUCA